AGCGAACGCUGGCGGCAGGCUUAACACAUGCAAGUCGAGCGGCCGUAGCAAUACGGCAGCGGCAGACGGGAGAGUAACACGUGGGAACGUACCCUUCAGUACGGAACAAACAAGGGAAACUUUGGCUAAUACCGUAUACGUCCGUAAGGAGAAAGAUUUAUCGCGGAAGGAUCGGCCCGCGUCUGAUUAGCUAGUUGGUGAGGUAACGGCUCACCAAGGCGACGAUCAGUAGCUGGUCUGAGAGGAUGAUCAGCCUCACUGGGACUGAGACACGGCCCAGACUCCUACGGGAGGCAGCAGUGGGGAAUAUUGGACAAUGGGCGCAAGCCUGAUCCAGCCAUGCCGCGUGGAUGAUGAAGGCCCUAGGGUUGUAAAGUCCUUUUAACGGGGAAGAUAAUGACGGUACCCGUAGAAUAAGCCCCGGCUAACUUCGUGCCAGCCGCCGCCGUAA
Molecule: ribosomal RNA, 451 nt
Filed under: uncultured bacterium
Lineage: Bacteria
Description: partial 16S ribosomal RNA
Rfam family: Bacterial small subunit ribosomal RNA
Source: RNAcentral